Molecule: non-coding RNA, 340 nt
Organism: Cinara cedri
Lineage: Eukaryota; Metazoa; Arthropoda; Insecta; Hemiptera; Aphididae
Source: the annotation of a GenBank genome assembly
CGAUACACACGUUGAAACAUUAUGCCGAACGCCCGCGGACAUAAAUAAACGCAAGUCGUAAUCGCGUUUAUUCGAUUGGUAUUAUGGGCUAUAUACGACUAUAUACGACUUGAAAAAUGCGACGUGAAUACCAUACGGAACUAUUGAGACAGUACGCGUUUAAAAAAAUUCUUUAAAAUACGAUUUCCCGUAUAAGCGUUUAAAUGUUCGGAAACAUUAAUAUUUUAGGACUGAUUAUCGACCGGUACAAUACGAGUAUGUUUUAUACCAACAUAAACGAACACUCGAAUUUCGCGUAUAUGGGUGCCUAUGAAAAUGUGCAAUAUAAUAACACAAUCGG